Molecule: non-coding RNA, 9043 nt
Organism: Doryrhamphus excisus (bluestripe pipefish)
Lineage: Eukaryota; Metazoa; Chordata; Actinopteri; Syngnathiformes; Syngnathidae
Source: RefSeq, a predicted model, not a curated record
UGCUCUCUCAGUAACAGAAAGUGGCCGCCUCUCCGCCGCCGCCGCUGCCGACUCAAAGCUCAGCAGUACUCGCUCGGCGCCCUUCACCGCCAUUUUGGAGUCAGGGAACCGAGAGUCGGCAGCGGCGACGAGAGAGACGCAAAAGGGGGCCGAGGGAGUCUGGAAUAAUGACAUCUCUUAUUGAGAAGUGAAAGUCCCUGGCCAGCAGUUGGACGGGUGGGGUGGGGGGGGUGGCCUAUCCGUACUGUAUGGCGUCAGGGCAGGGUGGCAGGCCGGAGGUCGGAGCAGCGGGGGGCUCGGGCCUGGCCAAACCUCUCUACCUGCAACGCCUGGAGCGGUCUUUGAGGCUGGACAGCUUCUUGCGCCAGACGGCCGCCAUCUUCAACAGAGACAUCACCAGUGAUGACAGUGACGACAGCGAUGGCGCUCUGGGGUCCACCCUCUCCAUGGACCCCUGCUCUGUGCAACACGCCACUAUGACGGUGAAAAGUGAGCCAUGUGACCAAGGGGAUGCUUUUGCGGAAGGCAAGCCCCUCAAUGGCGUCCUGCUGCAAGAGCAAAAGACAAAUCUCUACAAUUUCUCUAAAAUUAAGAAGAACCGCAAAUGGCUGAAGAGCAUACUACUGAGCGACAACACCACGGACUCAGACACGGACUCGGACGACUCAGACUUCAGUUUGUCACGGGAGGAGCUCCACGACAUGCUGAGGCUGCAUCGCUACACCAGGCAGCACCAGAGCAAGUUCCACGUGGACCCCGAGCUUCAGCAGUACCAGUUCUACAGCACAGGCCUGCUCUCCACUCAAGACCUUUUCCGUGAGCAACAGCGCUACCUACUGGGUCCAAAGAAGAAGAAAAUCAAGGACGAGAAGAAAUUCAAAGGAAAGCUGAAAAAAGUGAAAAAGAAGAAGAAACGUGGAGAAGGAGACUUUACAGAUGAUGGCCUCCCUUACGUCACCAAGACCUUUGCUAAGUUUUCCCACGAUGCACCAGUGCCCAUGGUGAAGAAGAAACAUCUGACUGUGGAACAGCUGAAUGCACGACGCCGCAAAGUGUGGCUUACGAUUGCCAAGAAGGAGAUCCCCAAGUCAUUCAAGCAGAAGACCUCGGCUAAGAACCUCGUCUUGACCAACGCUAAGAAGUUGGCCCACCAGUGCAUGCGGGAAGUUCGACGUGCGGCCAUCCAGGCCCAGAAGAACUGCAAGGAGACCCUUCCCCGUGCCCGCCGCCUCACCAAGGAGAUGAUGCUCUACUGGAAGAAGUACGACAAAGUGGAAAAGGAGCACCGGAAGAGGGCCGAGAAGGAGGCCUUGGAGCAGCGGAAACUGGAUGAGGAAAUGAAAGAGGCCAAGCGUCAGCAACGCAAACUCAACUUCCUCAUCACCCAGACGGAGCUGUACGCCCACUUCAUGAGCGGCAAAGCCUCGGUGGGCGGCCCGGGAGGAGAUGAAGCGCAGGAGGAGAUUCUGAAGAAGCUGGAUGACACCAGCGCCAACAGGCAGAUCGACAUCGGAGGAGGCGUGAUGGUCAACAUGGGGCAGGAAGACUACGACAGUGAAUACUACAAGUCUCAGGCCUUGAGGAACGCCCAGGAGGCCUACCAGAUCCAUCAGGCCAGAACGCAAAUGUUUGACGAGGACGCCCAGGACAGCCGCCAUGCAUCGCUGGCAUCGGCCUCCUCCUCCUCCUCCGCAGCUUGCGGCUUCGGCGAGAGCUACAGCCUCUCCAACCCGUCCAUCCAAGCGGGCGAGGACAUCCCUCAGCCCACCAUCUUCAACGGCAAGCUGAAGGGCUACCAGCUGAAAGGCAUGAACUGGCUGGCCAACCUCUAUGAGCAGGGUAUCAACGGCAUCCUCGCAGAUGAGAUGGGGCUCGGGAAGACCGUCCAGAGCAUCGCGCUGUUGGCCCACCUAGCAGAGAGAGACAACAUCUGGGGUCCCUUUCUCAUCAUCUCUCCGGCGUCCACGCUCAACAACUGGCAUCAGGAGUUCACGCGCUUUGUGCCCAAAUUCAAGGUGCUGCCAUACUGGGGAAACCCUCAUGACCGCAAAGUCAUUCGGAAGUUCUGGAGCCAGAAAACGCUCUACACGCAGAACGCCCCCUUCCAUGUAGUGAUCACAAGCUACCAACUGGUGGUCCAGGACGUCAAGUACUUCCAGAGAGUCAAGUGGCAGUACAUGGUCCUGGACGAGGCACAGGCACUGAAAAGCAGUACCAGCGUGCGGUGGAAGAUCCUCCUGCAGUUCCAAUGUCGAAACAGGCUGCUCCUCACAGGAACGCCCAUCCAGAAUACCAUGGCGGAGCUGUGGGCCCUGCUCCACUUCAUCAUGCCAACGUUGUUCGAUUCCCACGAGGAGUUCAACGAGUGGUUCUCCAAGGACAUCGAGAGCCAUGCGGAGAACAAAUCGGCCAUUGAUGAAAACCAACUUUCGCGACUGCACAUGAUCCUUAAGCCUUUCAUGCUGCGCAGGAUCAAGAAGGAUGUGGAGAACGAGCUCUCAGACAAGAUCGAAAUCCUGACCUACUGCCAGCUGACGUCUCGCCAGAGGUUGCUCUACCAGGCCCUUAGGAACAAGAUCUCCAUCGAGGACCUGUUGCAGUCCUCCAUGGGCACGGCCCAGCAGGCCCACAGCACUACGUCGUCCCUCAUGAACCUGGUCAUGCAGUUCAGGAAGGUGUGCAAUCACCCCGACCUGUUUGAGCGGCAGGACACACGCUCUCCUUUCCACAUGUCCCUCGCGCCUUACGUCGUGUCCAAGUUCCUCUACCGCCACGGCCUCCUCCACGCUCACAGCCAGGCCAAGGACAAGUUACUGCGAGUGCUUCUGUCUCCCUUCUCCCCAAAUAACAUCCAGCAGUCGCUCUUUCACAGGAGAGGUGACGACCAAGGGAGCUGUUUUGCCUUCCUACGCUUCAUCGACGUGUCACCGGCCGAGAUGUCCAACCUCAUGCUGCAAGGCAACUUGGUCAGGUGGUUAGCCCUUUUUCUGUCUCUGAAGGCAGCGUACCGGCUACACUCUCAGCGGCUCUUUGACCUCCAGGAAGACGACCACAAUGAAGGCGAUGAUAACAGGGGGAGGUCACAGAGUUCCUCGAGUCGCCAUCUGUCUCGCAGAGACCUCAUCUUGUGGGUCAACAGACCCACCGCCUUCCCCAACACACACACCAGCCCCGUGCUGCGGAAUCUGGUCUUCACGGCCCUUAGGCCCGGCUUGGUGGGACACUCGGAUGUGACGAUACACUGCAGGCGCUCCUCCACCUCCAGGCUGUGGAGAUGCCAGCCCACGCUUCCACCCAAGUUCCUGCUCAGCACCACGCCCAGGGUGACCGCAGUUCCCAUGGAGCGCUAUUCCACCGACCGCAGCGCCGAGCACGAGUGGCGGGUGACGCGCAUCGGCGGGGGCACCGUCUUCAAGGAGUGCUUCCUCUACGGCACGCCGGAGCUCGCGUCUGAUUGGCGCCAGAGGAGCGGCGCUUUCUUCCCGCCGUGCCCCGGCGGCGUCAUGGCCCUCUACCCUCAACACGGCUGGUCCUACAUACGGAUACCAGAUAAGGAGAGUCUGAUCACGGAAAGCGGCAAGCUUCACACCUUGGAUGUCCUGUUGAGUCGACUAAAGGCGCAGGGACACCGAGUCCUCAUCUACUCCCAAAUGACUCGCAUGAUCGACCUGCUGGAGGAGUACAUGGUGUACCGCAAGCUCACCUACAUGCGCCUGGACGGAUCCUCCAAGAUUUCCGAGCGCAGAGACAUGGUGGCGGACUUCCAGAGUCGGACGGACAUCUUUGUGUUCCUGCUGAGCACCCGGGCCGGCGGGCUGGGCAUUAACCUGACUGCUGCAGACACGGUUAUCUUCUAUGACAGCGACUGGAACCCCACAGUGGACCAGCAGGCCAUGGACCGGGCCCACCGGCUGGGUCAGACCAAACAGGUGACCGUCUAUCGGCUCAUCUGCCAGGGGACCAUCGAGGAGCGCAUUCUGCAGCGCGCCAAGGAAAAGAGCGAGAUCCAAAGGGUGGUGAUCUCUGGCGGCAACUUCAAACCCGACACGCUCAAACCCAAAGAGGUGGUCAGCCUGCUGCUGGAUGAUGACGAGCUGGAGAAGAAACUGCGUCAGAGGCAGGAGGAGAAGCGACAGCAGGAGGAGAGCAGCAAAGUCAAGGAGCGCAAGAGGAAGAGGGAGAAGUACGCCGAGAAGAAGAAGACGGAGGAGUCGGAGAACAAGAAGAGGAAGGAGACCAACCUGGUCAUCUCGCACGCGCCCUCGGCCGACAACUCCAAUUUGUCUGCGGACGGAGACGACUCCUUCCUCAGCGUGGAGAUGGACUCGGCCAUGCCCAGCCCCUUCAGCGAGCCUGUGUGCGUGUCUUUGUGUGCUCCUGUCGGCCAACAGAUCUCGUUGAGCAGCGAGCUUCAACCCGGCUCGCUGCCGCCGGACGCCGACGCCGACGAGAGCAGCAGCGACAUGUUAGUCAUCGUGGACGAGCCGCUGUCGUCCGCGCAGCAGUCCCGUGCCACCAGCUCCCCCGCAUCCGUGUCCGGUUCCGUCUCGGACAACAUGAACGGUGUUUCUGCCUCGGAUGUAAUCAGCCCAGGCAGAGGCAGGUCGGGUCGCAGUCGAGGACGUCCUAAAGGAUCCGGAGGUGGGCCCAAGACAGGGGGCAAAGGGCGCGGCCGCAAGUCGACGGCGGGAAGCGCGGCGGCCAUGGCGGGUGCGAUGGCGGGCGCGGCGGCCGCCUCGGCAGCAGCCUACGCCGCCUAUGGCUACAGUGUUUCCAAAGCGGGCCUCGCCAUGUCCAGCCCCCUGCAGCCUUCAAUGGGCCGUUCCGGCGCCGGUCCCGUUUUUAAUGCCGCCAGAAGCUCCUCGUCUCCGCAGACCACGGGCGGCGGCACCUCUGCCCCAAGCCCCAGCAAGCAGCUGGUCCACGGCCAUCACCUGGCUGCCGUCAGGAAGACGAAGGGCACCGGCGUUUCUGGACCACAAUGAUGCGCUCACGCGCACCUCACCUUGCAUACAAGUGCGUCGGCUGCGCGACAUGACGAACGACAACCGCCGACCUACUCUCACUGUGAUCCUCAACCACACCCCGUGCCUGAGACAGUACCGUGCCGUGUUUAUCAACGCCCUCAUGCUAAUUGUCACAAAACACACACACACUUUGCGGUCACCGACACGAUGUACUGCUUUUCCUUUGACAGGAAGCUGUUCAUGCAUCGCCGGGUUCCAAGGGCUGUCCAACACACUGAGCCACGUCUUCCAUAUUUGUUAGCGCUUGUCCUCGUGCACUGAAUACGCUCCACAUGCAUUUCACCGACCCGCAGCGUUUGUACUAAAAGCGCCUAUUUUUCUAAUCAAAAGACUAGCCAGCAGGGUUUCUAUAUAGAAUAGAUAUUUUUUGUCAAAUAUGCCAUGUAACACGUUCCAAAAUGAGGCUUAAAUUGUCAAAAGCAGAGAUGCUGCUAUGAAGGUGAAUGAUUUCAUUGAGUAGAGUGCCUCCUCUCGUCAUUAAGUUAUUUCAGUUGACAAUUUGCCAUAACUGUGAAUAGCACAUCCACCUGUAAAACUUGUGUACAUUGUAUUGAAGUCAGUAAAUACGUUAUAUAUGGUAUAUAUUGUUUUUUGGGGGGGUAGGGAGGGUGAGGGGUGACUAACGUGGCUCAUCGUUGGUGUUGUUUACAAUGUGUGAGUUUCAGGUUUGUGUUGAUAAUGUGAUUAAUGUAUGAUCUUCCCUGGCAUAUAUGUACAUAGCGACGAGGGGGAGGGCCAACGUCGCACCUGGCUUUCCCCCACGUUCACCUGUCUAUUUUUAUAGGUCACGUGUACAUAAUUGAUAAAUGCAUCUGUUGUUUUACUAACAGGAAGAGUCAGGUGGAAACAAUAAACGUGCUGAGUCAGUCUUGAGUUGAAAUCUUGUGCCACAAUGCGACUAUUACAAGGAGAUACAUGUUGAGUAGAUAAUUAUUUUGAAAUCCCUGGUGUACAAGACCUGUGUGGACAAGAACCAUUUUGCUAAGUAUUAGAAUAUAAAGGGAUAAUUUAUGCUUUUGAACUAAAUGUAAUUGGAAAUUAUAGCAGUGAUCAAGUCACAAUUUAAUAACAGCACCAUUCUGUGGUAAAAGUGAUCAAGACUUCAUACACGCCUUUAUUUUGAAAUCUCAGGUGCACUUCCUGUUUUGAAGUGCUGUUACUGUAACGUAAAUGUACUGUUUUCAUUUUCACAUUUGGAUUCCUGAGUGCACAGGAAGGUAUUCAUGAGCGUUAAACAUAUUUUUUGCAUAUAAUUACCAGAUAAAGUGCAGUCGCGUUAUAUCAGAAGGCCAUUAAACAACAAGACUGUUUGGUUAUAAAGGUGAAUUUUUGAAAGCUUUUUAAACCACUCAAUAACCCAAAACGCUGACAACAAUUACUAUACUGUAUACAGUGCUGUAUGUAGCAAAAAUGCUAUAGAAUGUUAGAAUUCAAAAUGGCGGGUUUUCCCCAACCUUUCCCACAAUUCUCUGCGGGAUUCAAGAUGGCGUCUUGCGUGGAACAAUACAAUUCCGGGAAAUAAUUCGUCAGCAGUCGGUAGAGUUUGAAUUAGCAAGGUUUUUUCAGCGUUUGGUCACUAAUGUCUUGAUCUACGUGUAUUGUAAUUAUCACCACACUCUUUUGCUACACACAUCGCGAGACUGUUUGUGGCUUUGGUGUAAAUCUUUGGAAACGAAAACUUCUCCAAGGUCUUCCCCAACUACAAGCAGAUGCCGGGUAAGUGUUUCUCUUCACAACUAUAUGUUUUCUAACAAAAGGUACAAACAACAGUAAACAUAUCAGAACUUUUAUUUUCUUACACUGGGUGAAUCGCAAUUAAAACACGUCAAUAAUGACCUAAAAAUAAAACACAUGUAAAUAAGCGUGCGCGUUUUGGGCAAAAUACGCAGAUGGGAACCUUUUGAAUGUUAAACUGUGGCAAGGGGGAAUCAUUUGAAUGAGACACGAGUAUGGUUCCCUUAGACAGCCCAGUACUAUUACUUCAUUAUUCAAUCAUGUUUCAUUUUCUGUGCUAGGUUAUUGCCCCAGAUACUACAAAGGUCUGACAAUAUUAAUUGUAAAAUAGUGCAAAUAAUGAUCUGUAUUUGACAAUGCUUUAAAGUUAUUUGUAAGUUAGAUUUUUUUAAAAAUGCAUUGUAUUCAAAUAUCAUCAGCAAUUUUGAAGGUGAUAUUACUAAAUGUCAACUGACUGACUUUUUUUGAUACACGGUAGGAUAGUUUAAUUUUGCAAUGACAUUUUUAUUGUGUCCUAAUUUUUAUUUUAGUUCUAUUUUUGUACACAAAAUAUUGUAAGGAUAUGACACCACAUUAUGGGAUGUUUACAGUGAAAACGGAAUAUGGAAUUACAAUCAGUAUUUGAGAAUAGUUCCCUUAAAGUAUAUCUUGGUGGGAUUUAUACACUUGGAUUAUUCUGAUUAAUAAUCUCAUCCAAUAGCUGCUAGUGACUUUUAUAAGGACUUCAUAAGGACUAUGUUUACCAGUGGCUUGCAUACACCUUUAUACGUGUUCUUGUUGUGCAACAGUCUGUGGGGACACUGUAUGGCCCAUUAAAGCCUUCUGACAAAAAAGGGGUCCAUGGCAGACCAUUUAACACUUUGCUAGGUGCUAAAUGAUACUUUGUACUGUAUAGCCCAGCCCCCCAGCAAACUUGACCACUUACGACUUCAAUGUAUUUGUUCCAUGUUUUAUUAUGACAUCUUUUCACAUUGUUACAGCUUUUGAUACACAACCGUCAAUGCAGUGUGAAUGGACGUCAACAUUUAAGUGUGCAUAUUAGCAUUACAGUGCAUUCACUUAUUACACGUCAACUGAUGACAAGCCUCAUAUGAGGGUUUUUUGUUUUACUGCGCCGCCAACAUGUACGCCACCAUGGACAGGGCCGCUGCUUCCACAGAGAACAGGUGGUGGUCCUCCACCUGAGGGCAGCUGCUCCUCAUGAAGGCAGCCAACCGGAGCAGGUACUCCAGGUUGUGGCCCGUCUUGCCCUGGCACACGGCGAUGCGGGCGCCGAUCUCCUCGGGCGAGGCGGGCCCCAGGUACAUGGGGUUGUCGGCAGUGGCGAUGUACAGCAGCGCCGGCACAGAUGGCUGCUCGUGCCCUUCGGGGUGGAACUCCACCAUUUGGGUGACGUAGCCGCCGCACUUGCCCUCACGGACAUCCAGGUACUUCAGGGCCUCCUCCACUUGAGUGCCCGUCACCUCAAACGCCACGCCCCACGUACUCGCCUGUGUUUGGAUAAGAAGACAACAUUGUUACACACGUCAAUCAAGCAGGAUGUGGUGAGCAAACCGGAAGUGGAUUACUUACGUCAUCCUCUGGGAUCAACGUCACCACUCGUGCGGGCUGGAGGAGGAGAGAAAGGGUCACGUGAUUAGACGUCGUCUCAGAUGCUGGCAAGAAGCCACAAAAAUCAAACUCACCAACUCGUCGUUGCCUCGGUGGAAGUUGUCGCCAUGCCAGAAACGUCUCUUGUAACCUCGAAUGUAGCCCAAUUUGCUCCUCUUGUACUUGAAGUCGGGCUUCCACACCAGAGAGCCGUAGCCGAAGAUCCACAGGCUGCUCUUGGCGACCAAGAUGUCUUGAGGCUUCAUUUUGUGUAUCAAACGCGACGUUUGUUUAGUAAAAAACAAGAUGAUGAUGAAUCUAUGGAUUGACUUCCGCCAAGUCGUCGCCUCAGGCCAACUAGCUGGCUAACGUUAGCUUCCUCCGGUCCAACAGCAGCGGUACCGGUUGGCUCGAUGGUAUACCGCGGACGGUACUUGAGCCCAACUGCUUGGCAGUUGCGACGAUGGGGGUGAGAGGUGGGUUUUGCCGAUGCAUUGCCAUUGCAUUACAGUUGCCGCAUUAUGCCCUUCAAAAAUCCAUGGUAGCCGCUUGGGGCCUAACGACGUGUCAAAAUGAGGGGAAAAGACGAACCCGUUUCGGCCAGCAGUUCCGCCGGCCGUGUUCAAGAGCAGUAAGACGACGGGUAAUUAAAUACUAUAGAUACUAAAGAAACACUGGCUUGAUAUGCUGAC